UACGUAGGGGGCGAGCGUUGUCCGGAUUCAUUGGGCGUAAAGCGCUUUAAGGCGGUUCGCUAAGUCGGGUGUGAAACCUCCAGGCUCAACCUGGAGACGCCACUCGAUACUGGCGUGACUAGAGUUCGGUAGGGGACCACGGAAUUCCUGGUGUAGCGGUGGAAAUGCGCAGAUAUCAGGAGGAACACCGAUGGCGAAGGCAGGUCUCUGGGCCACUACUGACGCUGAGAAGCGAAAGCAUGGGGAGCGAACAGG
This 255-nucleotide ribosomal RNA is filed under the name uncultured bacterium. RNAcentral's name for it is "partial 16S ribosomal RNA". It matches the Rfam family "Bacterial small subunit ribosomal RNA", at positions 524 to 776 of the family's 1533-position model. The record is from RNAcentral.